AUUGAACGCUGGCGGCAGGCCUAACACAUGCAAGUCGAGCGAGCGGCGGACGGGUGAGUAAUGUAUGGGGACUGCCCGAUAGAGGGGGAUAACUACUGGAAACGGUGGCUAAUACCGCAUACUAUCGGAUAACCCAUAUGGGAUUAGCUAGUAGGUGGGGUAAAGGCUCACCUAGGCGACGAUCUCUAGCUGGUCUGAGAGGAUGAUCGUCCAAACUGGGAAUGUGACACGGCACAGACUCCUACGGAGGCAGAAGUGGGGAAUAUUGCACAAUGGGCGCAAGCCUGAUGCAGCCAUGCCGCGUGUAUGAAGAAGGCCUUAGGGUUGUAAAGUACUUUCAGCGGGGAGGCGUUACUCGCAGAAGAAGCACCGGCUAACUCCGUGCCAGCAGCCGCGGUAAUUC
RNAcentral lists this ribosomal RNA (403 nucleotides) under uncultured bacterium. RNAcentral describes it as "partial 16S ribosomal RNA". It matches the Rfam family "Bacterial small subunit ribosomal RNA", at positions 30 to 526 of the family's 1533-position model. The record is from RNAcentral.